UAUUCUUGAACUCCGAUCCCAACCUCCUCGUGGUGCUAGCUGAAGUAUGAUCUUGGAACUUAUUAAGUUCUUCAGCACAUUGUGCAACGAUCGUAUACCAAUAGGGACGG
This 110-nucleotide ribozyme is filed under the name Anopheles sinensis. RNAcentral's name for it is "drz-agam-1 ribozyme". It matches the Rfam family "drz-agam-1 ribozyme". The record is from Rfam by way of RNAcentral. Lineage: Eukaryota; Metazoa; Arthropoda; Insecta; Diptera; Culicidae.